This 585-nucleotide ribosomal RNA is filed under the name uncultured bacterium. RNAcentral's name for it is "bacterial SSU rRNA". It matches the Rfam family "Bacterial small subunit ribosomal RNA", at positions 224 to 825 of the family's 1533-position model. The record is from RNAcentral.
GAUGAGCCUGUGCCUGAUUAGCUAGUUGGUGGUGUAAUGGACUAUCAAGGCGACGAUCAGUAGCUGGUCUGAGAGGAUGAUCAGCCACAAUGGGACUGAGACACGGCCCAUACUCCUACGGGAGGCAGCAGUAGGGAAUUUUGCGCAAUGGGGGAAACCCUGACGCAGCAACACCGCGUGAAUGAUUAAGCCCUUCGGGGUGUAAAGUUCUGUCAAUAGGGACGAAUUUUGACUGUACCUAUAAAGGAAGCACCGGCUAACUCCGUGCCAGCAGCCGCGGUAAUACGGGGGGUGCAAGCGUUGUCCGGAAUCAUUGGGCGUAAAGCGUUCGUAGGCGGUAUGUCAAGUCUGAUGUUAAAGCCCGGGGCUCAACUCCGGUUCGGCAUUGGAUACUGGCAAACUAGAAUGUGGUAGAGGUAAAGGGAAUUCCUGGUGUAGCGGUGAAAUGCGUAGAUAUCAGGAGGAACAUCGGUGGCGAAAGCGCUUUACUGGACCAUUAUUGACGCUGAGGAACGAAAGCCAGGGGAGCAAAUGGGAUUAGAUACCCCAGUAGUCCUGGCCGUAAACGAUGGAUACUAGGUGUUG